GACGAACGCUGGCGGCGUGCUUAACACAUGCAAGUCGAACGGAAAGGCCCUGCUUUUGUGGGGUGCUCGAGUGGCGAACGGGUGAGUAACACGUGAGUAACCUGCCCUUGACUUUUGGAUAACUUCAGGAAACUGUGGCUCAUACCGGAUAGUAGCUCCUGCUGCAUGGUGGGGGUUGGAAAUUUUGGGCGGGUGGGGAUGGACUCGCGGCUUAUCAGCUUGUUGGUUGGGUAGUGGCUUACCAAGGCUUUGACGGGUAGCCGGCCUGAGAGGGUGACCGGCCACAUAGGGACGGAGAGACGGACGAGACUGAUACGGGAGGCAGCAGGGAGGAAGGAUGAACACUGGGCGGACGCAUGAUGCAGGAAGGCAGGGUGCGGGAUGAAGGCCUGCGGGUUGGAUACAGCUUUCGCCUGUGACGAAGCGUGAGUGACGGUAAUGGGUAAAGAAGCACCGGCUAACUACGUG
Molecule: ribosomal RNA, 468 nt
Filed under: uncultured bacterium
Lineage: Bacteria
Description: partial 16S ribosomal RNA
Rfam family: Bacterial small subunit ribosomal RNA
Source: RNAcentral